RNA transcript from Cyprinus carpio (common carp), 574 nucleotides. It is a transcript of the gene named sialoadhesin-like, with no coding region annotated. NCBI's taxonomy places the organism in Eukaryota, Metazoa, Chordata, Actinopteri, Cypriniformes, Cyprinidae. The record is from RefSeq and is a predicted model, not a curated record.
UCUAAUAGUUUUUUUUUUCUCUCUCUCUCUCUCAGAUACGCAGGUGUAAAGCAGCCCAUCUGUUGUAUCAGAGGGACAGGAAGUGACAUUAAUCUGUUCAACUAAAUGCACUCUAAAUGACAAACAUACUUACAUCUGGUACAAGAACGGACGACAGGUAACAGAUGGAUUCACUAAAGACAACAAGCUGUACCUGGACUCAGUCAGUGAUGAAGAGCUUCACCAGUAUUCCUGUGCUGUAGAAGAUCCAGUGGACAGCACAGCGUUCAGUCAUUAUACAGUCACUCUGCUGGUGUUUUUUACCUCAGUUUCUCAUAAUAGCGGCUCUGUGGAUGUGGUUUUUCAUCAGAAUGCAUCUCAAUUUAAAACUAAACUGAAAACAAAAGUGAAGAUUCUGAUGUCUUCAUCUACAUCUGCUGUCUGUCCAUCAGAGUGAUGUCACUGUGUUCUUCCAUUGUGACAUCAUCACCUAGCAACAGUCAGGACUGUCAGCAGCAACAUCAGAGAUACAGUGAUGUCAUAGACAGUGACAUAUCAUUUAUUGUCUAGUCUGCAUAAUCAAACAAAUCCAAAA